RNAcentral lists this ribosomal RNA (863 nucleotides) under uncultured bacterium. RNAcentral's name for it is "bacterial SSU rRNA". It matches the Rfam family "Bacterial small subunit ribosomal RNA", at positions 29 to 891 of the family's 1533-position model. The record is from RNAcentral.
AUGAACGCUAGCGGCAGGCCUAAUACAUGCAAGUCGAGGGGCAGCACAGGUAGCAAUACUGGGUGGCGACCGGCAAACGGGUGCGGAACACGUACGUAACCUUCCUUUAAGUGGGAGAUAGCCCGAAGAAAUUCGGAUUAAUACCCCAUAAGAUUGUGGAGUGGCAUCACUCAGCAAUUAAAGAAUUUCGCUUAAAGAUGGGCGUGCGGCUGAUUAGGUAGUUGGUGAGGUAACGGCUCACCAAGCCAACGAUCAGUAACUGGCGUGAGAGCGCGACCAGUCACACGGGCACUGAGACACGGGCCCGACUCCUACGGGAGGCAGCAGUAAGGAAUAUUGGUCAAUGGACGCAAGUCUGAACCAGCCAUGCCGCGUGAAGGAUGAAGGUCCUCUGGAUUGUAAACUUCUUUUAUAUGGGAAGAAACCACUUUUUUCUAAAGGUGUUGACGGUACCAUAGGAAUAAGCACCGGCUAACUCCGUGCCAGCAGCCGCGGUAAUACGGAGGGUGCAAGCGUUAUCCGGAUUCACUGGGUUUAAAGGGUGCGUAGGCGGAUUAGUAAGUCCGUGGUGAAAUCUCCGAGCUUAACUCGGAAACUGCCGUGGAUACUAUUAAUCUUGAAUACUGUGGAGGUUAGCGGAAUAUGUCAUGUAGCGGUGAAAUGCAUAGAUAUGACAUAGAACACCAAUUGCGAAGGCAGCUGGCUACACAGAGAUUGACGCUGAGGCACGAAAGCGUGGGGAUCAAACAGGAUUAGAUACCCUGGUAGUCCACGCCCUAAACGAUGAUUACUCGACAUUUGCGAUAUACAGUAAGUGUCUGAGCGAAAGCAUUAAGUAAUCCACCUGGGAAGUACGACCGCAA